Molecule: ribosomal RNA, 253 nt
Filed under: uncultured bacterium
Lineage: Bacteria
Description: partial 16S ribosomal RNA
Rfam family: Bacterial small subunit ribosomal RNA
Source: RNAcentral
AACGUAGGUGGCAAGCGUUGUCCGGAAUUACUGGGUGUAAAGGGAGCGCAGGCGGAACGGCAAGUUGGAAGUGAAAUACAUGGGCUCAACCCAUGAACUGCUUUCAAAACUGUCGGUCUUGAGUGGUGCAGAGGUAGGCGGAAUUCCCGGUGUAGCGGUGGAAUGCGUAGAUAUCGGGAGGAACACCAGUGGCGAAGGCGGCCUGCUGGGCACUAACUGACGCUGAGGCUCGAAAGUAUGGGGAGCAAACAGG